CUUUAUUGCGUUAACGAGCGAGAUCGAGGCUGAUAAAUAGUGAGCACAUGAGGAGUAUUAUGAAACUAGAGCGUCAAGCGGCGUCGCAGUGGCGUCAAAACUGCUGUCGGCGUCAUUGGCGAAGGCGUUUUUCUUUUCAUGCGCGGCGUUUGUCGAGAUCAAAAUCGGCGAAAACACUUUACGAUCACUUCUUAUUGGGAUUAUUCACGAUGAGUGAAAUGAAAUGCUCGGCAAGAACAGGUCUGAGAUGCCCUUAGAAACUAUGGACCGCACGCGAGUUACAAUGAUAAAACGAACGAGUUAGAAGACGUCUUUGGUGUGCGGCGUUUACGCGUCGCGCACUCGGAGCGUUUCAUAGCUGAUUUGAGAAAAUUGGCAAAACUGAUGAAAUUUUAUCUUGAUUGGGAUUGUAAAUUGGAAUUAUUUUAC
This 429-nucleotide ribosomal RNA is filed under the name uncultured eukaryote. Its description in RNAcentral is "partial 18S ribosomal RNA". It matches the Rfam family "Eukaryotic small subunit ribosomal RNA", at positions 1318 to 1598 of the family's 1831-position model. The record is from RNAcentral.